RNAcentral lists this ribosomal RNA (253 nucleotides) under uncultured Actinomycetales bacterium. RNAcentral describes it as "partial 16S ribosomal RNA". It matches the Rfam family "Bacterial small subunit ribosomal RNA", at positions 524 to 776 of the family's 1533-position model. Lineage: Bacteria; Bacillati; Actinomycetota; Actinomycetes; Actinomycetales. The record is from RNAcentral.
UACGUAGGGUGCAAGCGUUAUCCGGAAUUAUUGGGCGUAAAGAGCUCGUAGGCGGUUUGUCGCGUCUGCUGUGAAAACCCGAGGCUCAACCUCGGGCUUGCAGUGGGUACGGGCAGACUAGAGUGCGGUAGGGGAGAAUGGAAUUCCUGGUGUAGCGGUGGAAUGCGCAGAUAUCAGGAGGAACACCGAUGGCGAAGGCAGGUCUCUGGGCAUUUACUGACGCUGAGGAGCGAAAGCAUGGGGAGCGAACAGG